CGUUCAAUCGGAUCGCCGCGAUCCCAAUCGCGAAACCUUUUUACACCGCGGCGUUCUUUACCCUCCCUCCGUAACCGCCCGCACAUUCGUCGUUCCGUGAUCUUCGCGGAGAUGGAAUCCCCUCCCUCCGCGCCCGCCUGUGAUGGAUUCCCCUUCCCCUCCCUCUGCACCAUCACCGGCAAUCACGCUAUCUUCCAUUCCGAUCCAUUUUUUCAGCCACCCGAGAUCACGCACCCGUCCGCUCUCUCCUGCGAGUUGCGUCCACUCGCCUCCUCCCCUUCCCCCUCUCCCCUCCGACGACGGAGCGGCCCAGGCGGGGCCGCGGCUCACGACCAGCAUGGCCGGGCAGGGGGGUGUGCAGCCCCAGUUGUUUGCCGGCGGCGAGUGGGCCUCGGAUGGACUGCCGCCCUGCUCCCGCACCUCCGCCGCGCAUCCCCGGGCCCUGCUGCCCUCUUCCCCGGCCGAAAUCGGCCGAUUUUCGGCCGGUCGGAGAAGCCCUGCCGCCGGUCCCGACUCCCGCACGUCGACGGCCUUCUUCUGGUUCUCCUCCGCCCAAAUCGACCGCCCAGUGAGUUUCCUCGCACCACCCUCGACCUCCCAAGCGCCUUCCCCGGCCAUUUUGCUCACCGCGCCGCCGAGAACGCGGCCUCGCCACCGUGCCGAUCCACCUGCCGCGCCACCCUGGCGCUGCGCUCCCACGAGCCGCGGCCCCACCUGGCCGUGCUGGCUGUCGCGCCGCCUCGCCUGCCGCUGGCUGGCCUCGCCGCCUGCUAGGCCGCCGGGCCUUCACGUAGGUUUGCGGUUCGUCUGAGUUUUGUUCUUCGAUGCUCGUGCGAAGUUCCUCCGGGCAAAAUAAAUUGAUUGGAUUUCCAGGAGUACCUCAACCUGCAGCAUCGGACGUUCGUGUAGUACUACCGCUGCUUGUCGAUGUCUCUCCUAAACAAGGAUAACGUCGACGAGGAUGGCAACUGAGUUAUCAUGCCGCCAUCUGCUCUUGAUCGCCUUAGCCGCCUCAAUGUCGAGUACCCGAUGUUGUUCUAGAUCCAGAAUCCCAGCACGGAGCGCAGCACGCAUUGCGGUGCGCACGAGUAUGUCGCUGAGGAAAGGUUCAUCCACAUGCUGACCAGGGAGAACGAGCUCGUGCUGGUGAGGAACAUGUUGCUGCCCACAGCCACCUUCAUCAAGCUGCAGCCGCACACCACGGACUUCCUCCACGCAGCUGAUUUGGGUCCAGGUUUGUCGGCUCGUAAUCCUUUUUCUCCAUUUGAUCCAACUAUUCCGGCUAGGUUGAGUUGAAUUUGUUCUGGCCGUGCCAUCAAAGCGGAUUUGAUUGCACUUAAUUGGAUGCUGCAAAACAGCAAGAGGGCAGGUUCCUGUCGGGCCACCGGAGAUGGCGAAGUCGACGACGGCUGCCGCCUCGUUCAUGGUUGGCCAAGGCAUCUUCUUCCUUGUAUUUCCCUAUAGAUUGACUUGCUAACUAAGAUCCUUGCGUCGUGGUCGCGUGGGAGCUCUCCGCCAAGAUUGGUUGCCAGUUUGCCACCACCCGUGUCGUCCUCGACGACGAGGGGUCACCGCGCCGACGGGCUUGCGGCUGCCGGAGGCCGCGGCUGGUGGAAGACCUUCGAGCAGAAGGCGGAGGCGUCGGAGAUGAGCACCUUCCCUGCAGGCGUACGCGGCCCCGACGUCCCGGUCGAACCGCGCGCUAGCUUGCCGCCCGCCGUGCCCGGCGCGGCGUUGGUCGCGCCGAACGUGACCGCGCCGGCAGAGCGCUACCACGACGUCGUCACAACUCACAUCUCGCUCGCCGCGCGCGGUUGUCGCCUGCGACGACUGUGUAGGCACGGUGCGUGUUGGAACGAAGCGCGACGGUGAUCGAGGGUUCAUAUAGCCUAGGCCGGCGGCCGGCAAGAAGAUAACGUGGCGCGGCGUCACCAAUGCAAGAUUUUGUUGGGUGUGAGCCAUGUUGGUUGACUCGUCGGGGCCUGAGUCAAGCACUGGCUCGAUCGGUUGGGAAAUUCGACGAGUGGAGGGCUACUUGCCUACCGGCUUGCACUGCAGGGCUGCAUGCGCUGGUGUGCUACGGCUUGAGUGCUGGCCUACUAGCUAGGGAAUGUCUGGCACAACUCUUCGCGCAGUGCAGUCAUGCCUCUGCUCUCUUGCAACAUUCCCUAGCUAGUGGUGACGGCAGUUUAGAGGUAUGACCUUAACACGAAAUCGAAAUCUUGUACAUAGGCAUACAAGUACUCACUCGCACCAUGGCCGAUCUGUACUAAUUAAACGACUAUAAUUUCAACAGCUAUGGUUGUUAGUUUGAAUCCAGCUUUUCAACCAGAGAGCGCCGGCCGGGCAAACGUGUUGUACGUGGUGCCGUAAACAUUUGGACUACCAAAGGAGCAGAGUACUUGUUCCACGCUCAACAAUACCUUAUCGAAAGUUUAUUUAUUUUAGAGUAAAAUGUACUGUAGGUCCUCAAACUAGUUCUCCUGUUCUGUUUAGGUCCAUGAACUUUGAAAAUACAUUUCUAGGUCCAGGAUCUAUUUAAGUGAGCCAUUAGAAGUCCAAAACGCCAUUGACCUGCUCUGACCGGCUACGUGGAUCGCCAAGCUGGCUCUGACGUGGACAUGACUUCGACGGAGGCGCAAAAAAAUUGCAAGUACACCCUUCCCUGCUAUAGUAAUGUGGGGUGCGGAUCCAUGCCAUGGCUCUCAUCCUCUGUUCUCUCGUGUUCUUCUCCCCCCUCUCUGCGCCUACCCCUGAGGCCCAGAUCCAUGCCAUGGCUCGCGAAUCCAGUGCAUCGGCGUCGGAGCAGUGGGGUGCGGAUGAGCUCCCGAUCAUCCUUUGCACUGAUUGUGGGCUCCGGCAAGUGGUGCGGCGCAGAUCGAAAUAGGAAUGGAGCUUUGGGAAAGUGUUCUACUGCUGCCCGUUGCACAAGCGUGAUGGAAGUGGAUGCCCUUUUUGGUUCUGGGAAGAAGAUUACGUUGUCAAGCUUAGGAGUCUUGGGUUGCUGAAAGGAGGCAGUUCAACGCAGCUGGAAGACCCUAUUGCAGCCCCAAGGAUGGAGUUUCUGCAUGCUAGAGAAGGAGAAUGGAAGAAGAAGAAUGCCACUGAAAUAGUUAGGUUGCUAAAGUCAAUAUGUGUUGUAUGUGUAUCUAUUCUGUGUGUGCAAUGUGUGAUGCUGUUGCUCUUAGUGUUUAAGAACUGAACAUGGAAUGUAUCGAAGCUAUUAGCAUGUAUGAACUGAGCAUGAAAUGUAUGGAAUUUGAAGUCAAGCAUCACAUGAGCUUGAAUUGUUAGAA
Panicum virgatum (switchgrass) is the source of this 3296-nucleotide long non-coding RNA. RefSeq lists it as uncharacterized. The transcript has 5 exons. Lineage: Eukaryota; Viridiplantae; Streptophyta; Magnoliopsida; Poales; Poaceae. The record is from RefSeq and is a predicted model, not a curated record.